This 303-nucleotide ribosomal RNA is filed under the name uncultured bacterium. RNAcentral describes it as "partial 16S ribosomal RNA". It matches the Rfam family "Bacterial small subunit ribosomal RNA", at positions 507 to 808 of the family's 1533-position model. The record is from RNAcentral.
AGCAGUAGCCGCGGUAAUACGUAGGUCCCGAGCGUUGUCCGGAUUUAUUGGGCGUAAAGCGAGCGCAGGCGGUUAGAUAAGUCUGAAGUUAAAGGCUGUGGCUUAACCAUAGUACGCUUUGGAAACUGUUUAACUUGAGUGCAAGAGGGGAGAGUGGAAUUCCAUGUGUAGCGGUGAAAUGCGUAGAUAUAUGGAGGAACACCGGUGGCGAAGGCGACUCUCUGGUCUGUAACGGACGCUGAGGAGCGAAAGCGUGGGGAGCGAACAGGAUUAGAUACCCCCGUAGUCCCUGUCUCUUAUACC